CCCACCCACCAAUUCUUACAGCACUUUCUCAGCGCAUUUCACCUUGACGAGGACGCACGCGCCACUAAGUGCAUACAAAACGGAGAAAGCAUCAUAGAUCUAUACGCACCUACAGCCACAUACACCACUUGGCACCCCUCAUGAACGCGAGCGUGGGGCUCUCACUCACGCUCGCUCUGUACCGUCAACCUUACCAGCAGUCCGCCCCUGCCGCUUCUCCAUCUUGGUGUCCUCCCCAAAUCACCACACACCGGCUUUCUCUGUUCGGUGACUGCGACAAGGACGAGGGUCCUGCGCUGCACUAAGGCACUCAUGGAGGAGGUGAAGUGCAGUUUGCUGAGCUUUAACUCAGCACUUCUGAGUCAGACGCUGGACGCACCUUCGUCAGCGGCCGAUGCGAGGGCAGCGGAUUCGAAUGCUGACAGUGCAGCUGGCGCAUCUGCAGAACCCUUUCGCAGGUACUGUGAGGCGCUGCCCUUUCACCCCACAGAGCAGCAGCUUCUGCAGCGUGCCCUGCCUCUGGGUCGCAGCUAUCACACGCUUCUGCGCGCCACGCAGGAGGCCGCUGUCGGGCGCGUCGAGGGGCUGUAUCCGGCUGCUAUUGCGAAUGGGGUGAAGAAGGUUCUUUUCAACUACGCCGAGGCGGUGAAAGCGGCCGAGACGCCGUCGGCGCUUGCGGCGCUCCCGGCUACAUACGCCCUGACUUUCACCCUCCUGGAGGCCAUCGUCAAGCAGCAGCAGCGGACGGAGGUGUGUCUGCCGUUGCUCGACAGUUUUCUUCACAAUCAGGAGGUCCCGGCAGCGUUUCGGCGUCUUCUCGGGGAAAGCGUGUGGCUCGCGCUGCUCUACACAACAGCGCACUACAUUGCCCACGGUGUCGUGCUGCACGCACGCCCAGACUACUUCAUUGCUGUGCGCGCCAAAUCAACGGAGACCGCAGCGGCGACGGCGGCGGUGAGGAGUGCCUCGACCGGUUUCGGCGGUGGCGCUGGGGAGGAGCACAUCCUCUACACAGACCGUCUUCCGCUCGGUGUGUCCCCUGAACUGGGCCUCCUGAUACUGGCGGCUGGUAAAGAGCGACGGGUGCUGCUGCGCGACAUGGAUGUGCAGGGUGGCAGCGACUACCUGGAGCAGCUGGCUCUCGGUUCCCAGGACGAAGCCGCCAAUGCUGUCUUUCACUCCAUCUUCAACGCGCAGCUGUGUCAUGGUGGCGUUCUGGUGGCAGAGGAGUUAGCGGCGCGUGUGGAGGCGGCAAAGACGUUGUGGUCCAAGGCAUUGUGGAUGAAGGUCGGCGAUCUGCCCUCGCUGAAGGUGAACCUUGCCGCUCUGCGCAGCAUGUUUCUCUGCCACCGCGGCGACGUUUGGUACGCCUUUGUGGAGCGCGUGCUGCCUGUUCUUGCUGAUGUGCUGCCGUCGCUGUCGCCCGCUGCCGCCCUGGAAGUGGCCGAGGGCGCCAAUGCCGAGGGAGAGAAGCAGGUGAAUGCAGCAGAUGCUCCGGCUCGCGAGUCUCAUGUCGCGGCGCCCCGUAGCGCCUACCUGCAGCGCAUCGCAUCUGAAGCUUUCUUGUUCGCUCUCUCCGUCAGCAAUCUGCGCGACACUGUAGCAUACGAGGCGUUCACGAUGCGGGUGAAGUCGUGCCGUGUACAGCAGGCGGAUGCGGCCUUCGCCGCUGAUGGUCCGACGCGAGUGGCCCGACAUACCCGCGGUGGCGGUGGUGCGGCCGGCUCAACAGAGGACGUGGCGCGGCACCUCCUGCUCAUCGUUGAGGCUCUUUAUCUGCAGUAUAUCCCUCCUCAAGGUCUGCUGCUGAUCGUGUCGCACAAGGCGAUGCAGUACUACCAACGACUCUUCUUGUUUCAUCUCGCCCUCCGCUUCUCACUGGAGGCGCUUGCGGUGACGCGCUCGCUCCUCUCAGAGGCGUUGGUGACCAAUACGAGACCCUCGGCAGACCUGCGCCGCGCAUUUUCGCUGUUUCAGUUUAUCCACUUCAUGGAGUCCUCGCUUGGCUACUACAUGCAAGUGGAUGUCAUUAGCGUGUUUACCGCGAAGCUCGAGGAGCAGCUCGCGUCUGCCGCAUGCACGAGCGUGGAUCAGGCAAAACGCUUCCACGACCAGUUCAUAUGGCAUGUGCUGGAGGCCACGUUCCUCACGGAGGGCUCCGAGCCGCUUCUGCGCGCGUGCCAGUCCCUCAACAUCUGUGCGACAACCCUCUACAUCCUAUGCAUGCGCUAUCGCAUUCCCUACUGGGCGGUCGAUGGCGUCAAUGAGACCCCGGUGGAGGUGCGUGCGACGCUGAUUGCUCUCGAGGCGCGUGUACAGCAGGAGGUUGUGGCGGUGUUCACGGGUCACCUCGGCCUCGGUGGGCGUCCUUGGGAGCGCGCGCUGUGGUCGCGCCUCGACUUCAACGGCUACUUCUCCCAGCACCGCGGCCGGCCAGCGGUUCCUGUGCCACUGCGGAGUGCCAGUGCGUCAGCAAAUACGUUCAGGCAGCCGCACCACACACGCGUACAUAGCACCGGCGGGCCUUCGCGCUCGAGCAGUGUGGCUGCAAAACCACACCGUCAUCACAUAACAUCGAGGCGGACAUCAGCUGGGUGACAUGGCGGCGCUGGAUGAGUAAAAGGCGCGCAGGGGAUGCAGUCUCUCCCACGCUCGUGUUCUCUUCGCUGUUGUCCACCACUCAGGUGAGCCCGUCUUCUGUGUCGCGUUUCUGUGGCUUCUAGGAGGGCUCUAUGGACGAGUUUGCCGAGCACACGCACCAUCGUGCACACGCCGUCUCCGCAUUUCUGUGCCGUGCUGACGCCGCUUUUCUCUGUUCCUUUUUGUUCGUCGCAAAGUACUGUUUUCUGCCUUUUGUGUGCGCUGCAGUC
Molecule: unclassified non-coding RNA, 2870 nt
Filed under: Leishmania donovani
Lineage: Eukaryota; Euglenozoa; Kinetoplastea; Trypanosomatida; Trypanosomatidae
Description: gene:LdHU3.30.1310(CDS-product:Spc97_/_Spc98_fami ly_putative)
Source: RNAcentral